GACGAACGCUGGCGGCGUGCCUAAUACAUGCAAGUCGAGCGCAGGAAAUCGACGGAACCCUUCGGGGGGAAGUCGAUGGAAUGAGCGGCGGACGGGUGAGUAACACGUAAAGAACCUGCCCUCAGGUCUGGGAUAACCACGAGAAAUCGGGGCUAAUACCGGAUGGGUCAUCGGACCGCAUGGUCCGAGGAUGAAAGGCGCUUCGGCGUCGCCUGGGGAUGGCUUUGCGGUGCAUUAGCUAGUUGGUGGGGUAAUGGCCCACCAAGGCGACGGUGCAUAGCCGACCUGAGAGGGUGAUCGGCCACACUGGGACUGAGGCACGGCCCAGACUCCUACGGGAGGCAGCAGUAGGGAAUCUUCCACAAUGGACGAAAGUCUGAUGGAGCAACGCCGCGUGAACGAUGAAGGCCUUCGGGUCGUAAAGUUCUGUUGUAAGGGAAGAACAAGUGCCGCAGGCAAUGGCGGCACCUUGACGGUACCUUGCGAGAAAGCCACGGCUAACUACGUGCCAGCCGCCGCCGUAA
Molecule: ribosomal RNA, 524 nt
Filed under: uncultured bacterium
Lineage: Bacteria
Description: partial 16S ribosomal RNA
Rfam family: Bacterial small subunit ribosomal RNA
Source: RNAcentral